GCCUUGGUAGCUCAGUCGGUAGAGCAGAGGACUGAAAAUCCUCGUGUCGGCGGUUCGAUUCCGUCCUAAGGCACCA
This 76-nucleotide transfer RNA is filed under the name Desulfitobacterium hafniense. RNAcentral describes it as "Phe". It matches the Rfam family "tRNA". Rfam says of the family: Transfer RNA (tRNA) molecules are approximately 80 nucleotides in length. The record is from RNAcentral. Lineage: Bacteria; Bacillati; Bacillota; Clostridia; Eubacteriales; Desulfitobacteriaceae. RNAcentral also lists the same sequence under 15 other names.